GGAGUCUGGGCCGUGUCUCAGUCCCAAUGUGGCCGUUCAACCUCUCAGUCCGGCUACUGAUCGUCGCCUUGGUGAGCCGUUACCUCACCAACUAGCUAAUCAGACGCGAGCCCAUCUCUGAGUGAUAAAUCUUUGGUAGCAAAAUCAUGCGGUUUCACUACUUUAUGAGGUAUUACCAUCCGUUUCCAGAAGCUAUCCCUCUCUCAGAGGCAGGUUGCCCACGCGUUACUCACCCGUCCGCCACUAAGAAUAUACAAUCAUCUGCCGAAGCUUCUGAAGCGUAUAUUCUCCGUUCGACUUGCAUGUGUUAGGCACGCCGCCAGCGUUCAUC
RNAcentral lists this ribosomal RNA (331 nucleotides) under Ruminococcus flavefaciens. Its description in RNAcentral is "partial 16S ribosomal RNA". Lineage: Bacteria; Bacillati; Bacillota; Clostridia; Eubacteriales; Oscillospiraceae. The record is from RNAcentral.